RNAcentral lists this ribosomal RNA (274 nucleotides) under uncultured bacterium. RNAcentral describes it as "partial 16S ribosomal RNA". It matches the Rfam family "Bacterial small subunit ribosomal RNA", at positions 523 to 796 of the family's 1533-position model. The record is from RNAcentral.
AUACGGAGGGUGCAAGCGUUAUCCGGAAUUAUUGGGUUUAAAGGGUCCGCAGGCGGAUUAAUAAGUCAGUGGUGAAAUCCUCUCGCUCAACGAGAGAACUGCCAUUGAAACUGUUAGUCUUGAAUUCGGUCGAAGUAGGCGGAAUGUGUCAUGUAGCGGUGAAAUGCAUAGAUAUGACACAGAACACCGAUAGCGAAGGCAGCUUACUAGACCUGGAUUGACGCUCAUGGACGAAAGCGUGGGGAGCGAACAGGAUUAGAAACCCCGGUAGUCC